This 462-nucleotide ribosomal RNA is filed under the name uncultured bacterium. Its description in RNAcentral is "partial 16S ribosomal RNA". It matches the Rfam family "Bacterial small subunit ribosomal RNA", at positions 28 to 507 of the family's 1533-position model. The record is from RNAcentral.
GAUGAACGCUGACAGCAUGCUUAAUACAUGCAAGUCGUUCGCAAAGUCGCGCAUGCGCAGUCUCUCCAAGGCGGACGGGUGAGUAACGCGUAAGGAACUUACCCUGCAGACAGGGAUAACAGACCGAGAGGACACAUAACACCAGAUAUUGUCAUGCUGGCGCAUGCCGGUUUCAUGAAAGGAGACGCUUCAGGAGAGCGUUGCGUCCUAUUAGCUAAUUGGCGGGGUAACGGCCCACCAUGGCGAUGAUAGGUAGCCGGCCUGAGAGGGUGAACGGCCACAAGGCGACGGGGAGACGGCCGUUGCUACUUCGGGAGGCAGCAGUAAGGAAUAUUGGACAAUGGGGGCAGCCCUGAUCAAGCAAUUCUGUGGGCACAAAGAAGGUUUUCGGAAUGAAAAGUGCUGUCAGCAAGGAUGAAGAAAGUGACGGUACCUAAACAGAAAGCGACGGCUAAAUACGUG